GCAUCAUCAAGAAGUGCGUGUUACAACUGGUUCAUCAAUCUCCUUGAAUGUUAAAAGUGCAGCCAUGGUUCAACCAGUACAUAAUCUAUUAUAGCACAAUACAGAAGAAAACAUGCUUCCAAGAAGCGGCGAAAAUUGUCAGUUCUGACAAAAAUCAUAAAAUUUUAGUACUCCAUCUCGUUACUGUGCAACGGCAGUUAUGAUUCAAUCCCUUGCGAGAACCUAAACUACUAUAGUACAAAAUGAGCAGAAACAAGACAUUAGACUAAAAUGCAAGUUGACAAGAUAAAAGCGAGACCAUCAGCUUGGCAAGUCCAGAAUCACUUCAGACAGGAUUAAAAUGGUGAAUUCACUUCGGAAUAGCCUACAUAAAUUACUUCAGACAUUAACUGACCUCAACGCCGAAACCCUUGACGUAGACAUUUGUAAAGAGCUCAGAAGCAUC
Molecule: long non-coding RNA, 445 nt
Filed under: Hordeum vulgare
Lineage: Eukaryota; Viridiplantae; Streptophyta; Magnoliopsida; Poales; Poaceae
Description: long non-coding RNA (HVUL_LNC016777)
Source: RNAcentral